Rattus norvegicus (Norway rat) is the source of this 130-nucleotide small nucleolar RNA. Ensembl annotates it as small nucleolar RNA SNORA17. Lineage: Eukaryota; Metazoa; Chordata; Mammalia; Rodentia; Muridae. The record is from Ensembl.
CAUGUCCCUAGAGGUGUUGCAGUUAUGGCUACUGUGUCACAUGCCAUCAAUAGGCAGAGAGGAAAGAGGCUCUUGUCUAUGCUCAAAUGCCCCAACCUAUGAGUUUCUGAAUUUUUUGUAGCCUAGAAUU